RNAcentral lists this ribosomal RNA (821 nucleotides) under marine metagenome. Its description in RNAcentral is "bacterial SSU rRNA". It matches the Rfam family "Bacterial small subunit ribosomal RNA", at positions 693 to 1520 of the family's 1533-position model. The record is from RNAcentral.
GAUAUCGGAAGGAACACCAAUAUGGCGAAGGCACUGUACUGGGCUUUACCUGACGCUAAGAGACGAAAGCUAAAGGAGUGAUUAGGAUUAGAUACCCUAGUAAUUUUAGCCGUAAACGAUGGAAACUCACUGCUGAGCCGGUAUUCGGAGCGGUGGUCAAGCUAACGCGUGAAGUUUCCCGCCUGGGGAUUACGCAUGCAAAUGUGAAACUCAAAGGAAUUGACGGGGACCCGCACAAGCGGUGGAGUAUGUGGUUUAAUUCGAUGCAACGCGAAAAACCUUACCAAGGUUUGAAAUCAUUCUAAAACUCUUUGAAAGAAGAGCCUCCUUCGGGAUAGAAUGACAGGUGGUGCAUGGCUGUCGUCAGCUCGUGUUGUGAAAUGUCAAGUUAAGUCUUGUAACGAGCGCAACCCAUGUCUUUUGUUGCUGUUUACAGUGCUUAAAAGAGACUGCCGCUCUACAGCGGAGGAAGGUGUGGAUGAUGUCAAGUCAGCAUGCCCCUUAUAUCUUGGGCUACACACGUACUACAAUGGUAGGGACAAUGAGUCGCAAACCUGCGAAGGCUAGCCAAUCUCAAAAACCCUAUCUCAGUUCGGAUUGUACUCUGCAACUCGAGUGCAUGAAGGUGGAAUCGCUAGUAAUCGCUGGUCAGCAUACAGCGGUGAAUACGUUCCCGGGUCUUGUACACACUGCCCGUCACACCAUGGAAGUCGAUCCUUCCCUAAGUCGUUACUCGAACCUUUUAGGACGAGGAUGCCGAAGGCAGGGUUGGUGACUAGGGUGAAGUCGUAACAAGGUAGCCGUACUGGAAGGUGUGGCUG